AUUGAACGCUGGCGGCAUGCCUUACACAUGCAAGUCGAACGGCAGCAUGAUCUAGCUUGCUAGAUUGAUGGCGAGUGGCGAACGGGUGAGUAAUACAUCGGAACGUGCCCUGUAGUGGGGGAUAACUAGUCGAAAGAUUAGCUAAUACCGCAUACGACCUGAUGGUGAAAGUGGGGGACCGCAAGGCCUCAUGCUAUAGGAGCGGCCGAUGUGUUCUUUGCUAGUUGGGGAGGUUAAGUCUCACCAAGGCGCCGAUCAGUAGAUGGUCUGAGAGGACGAUUAGCCCCCCUGGGACUUGAACACGGCCCCGACUCCUACGGGAGGCAGCAGUGGGGAAUUUUGGACAAUGGGCGAAAGCCUGAUCCAGCAAUGCCGCGUGUGUUGAAGAGGCCUUCGGGUUGUAAAGCCCUUUUGUCCGGAAAGAAAUGGCUCUGGUUAAUACCUGGGGUCGGUGACGGUAACGGAAGAAUAAGGACCGGCUAACUACGUG
This 490-nucleotide ribosomal RNA is filed under the name uncultured bacterium. RNAcentral's name for it is "partial 16S ribosomal RNA". It matches the Rfam family "Bacterial small subunit ribosomal RNA", at positions 30 to 507 of the family's 1533-position model. The record is from RNAcentral.